This is a non-coding RNA of Acanthosepion pharaonis, 111 nucleotides long. NCBI's taxonomy places the organism in Eukaryota, Metazoa, Mollusca, Cephalopoda, Sepiida, Sepiidae. The record is from the annotation of a GenBank genome assembly.
CAGCUAUAUCACUCUGAAACAUGAGUUCUUGUUUGAUCCCCUAAGUUAAGCAAUUUUGAACCUGGUCAGUACCUAGAUGGGUGACUGCUUGGGAAUACCAAGUGCUGUAAG